Molecule: ribosomal RNA, 1010 nt
Filed under: Salmonella enterica subsp. enterica
Lineage: Bacteria; Pseudomonadati; Pseudomonadota; Gammaproteobacteria; Enterobacterales; Enterobacteriaceae
Description: partial 23S ribosomal RNA
Rfam family: Bacterial large subunit ribosomal RNA
Source: RNAcentral
AAGCCAGUGGUGAACUCCACAUACGCAUCCUUUGCUGAGGAUACGGUUAACGGAGCGAAAGCGACGUUCAACCUCAAAAGAAGCAGAGGGGGCUUAGUGGUGGGGUGACUGCGUACCUUUUGUAUAAUGGGUCAGCGACUUAUAUUCUGUAGCAAGGUUAACCGUAUAGGGGAGCCGGAGGGAAACCGAGUCUUAACCGGGCGUUAAGUUGCAGGGUAUAGACCCGAAACCCGGUGAUCUAGCCAUGGGCAGGUUGAAGGUUGGGUAACACUAACUGGAGGACCGAACCGACUAAUGUUGAAAAAUUAGCGGAUGACCUGUGGCUGGGGGUGAAAGGCCAAUCAAACCGGGAGAUAGCUGGUUCUCCCCGAAAGCUAUUUAGGUAGCGCCUCGUGAAUUCAUCUCCGGGGGUAGAGCACUGUUUCGGCUAGGGGGUCAUCCCGACUUACCAACCCGAUGCAAACUGCGAAUACCGGAGAAUGUUAUCACGGGAGACACACGGCGGGUGCUAACGUCCGUCGUGAAGAGGGAAACAACCCAGACCGCCAGCUAAGGUCCCAAAGUCAUGGUUAAGUGGGAAACGAUGUGGGAAGGCCCAGACAGCCAGGAUGUUGGCUUAGAAGCAGCCAUCAUUUAAAGAAAGCGUAAUAGCUCACUGGUCGAGUCGGCCUGCGCGGAAGAUGUAACGGGGCUAAACCAUGCACCGAAGCUGCGGCAGCGACACUCAGGUGUUGUUGGGUAGGGGAGCGUUCUGUAAGCCUGCGAAGGUGGCCUGUGAGGGUUGCUGGAGGUAUCAGAAGUGCGAAUGCUGACAUAAGUAACGAUAAAGCGGGUGAAAAGCCCGCUCGCCGGAAGACCAAGGGUUCCUGUCCAACGUUAAUCGGGGCAGGGUGAGUCGACCCCUAAGGCGAGGCCGAAAGGCGUAGUCGAUGGGAAACGGGUUAAUAUUCCCGUACUUGGUGUUACUGCGAAGGGGGGACGGAGAAGGCUAUGUUGGCCGGGCGACGGUU